AACUCAACAUACACGUUUCCCUUCGGAGCCAAAAUGUCUACUAUCCUGAGAGACCUUCCCACGUUGAAAAAUAUUGUCUUUAUCGUAUGUGGCUUCACCGCUUUUCUUAUCACUUGUUUGGUUGUUAAAGUGUUCAGGUCUGGAAGAAAGAUAAAGAAGACGCGCAAGUAUGACAUCAUCACAACGCCGGCGGAGCGAGUGGAAAUGGCUCCUUUAAAUGGAGAUAAUAACGAUGAUGAUGAGGAUUCCACUCUCUUUGAUGUGAAAUACAGGUGAAGACGGCUGCGUGAACCCAACUGAGCCACCCCCGCCCCACUCCACUGCUGCGUUCUGGCACAAGACAAAGGAUUUGAGUUUUCUGUUUAUUAUCCUCAACAUUACACUGCUGUAAAGACAAACUCAAAUGCAGUAUCUGUCUUAAAAAAGAAACACAAUUGACAUGAAAUCUGAGGUUGUUCUCCACAGACAGGCAGACGUAUAAUACUAAUGGAACAAAUAGGUUAGGCUGCCUGUAGGUAACCCGGUCAUCAAUAAAAUACUGUCCUACUGGUCCCCUUCAUUAGAAACAAAACAUACACUACAUGCAAAUAAUGCUGCACCAGUAAUUAAAUACCUUUUUUUGUAUUUCAAGCUUCAACACUGAAAAAAAAAAUAGAAUUAUCUUCAGUCUUAAACAGACCUAUUUGAACAAAAAUAAUUGUUUGCAUAGGGGUAUAAAAGUGUGUGUGUGUGUGUGUAUAUAUAUUUAUAUAUAUAUAUAUAUGUGUAUAUAUAUAUAUAUAUAUAUAUAUAUAUAUUAUAGCUUGUUUUGUAGAGAUAUACAAGUGUGAGAAAUGUUAUAACUUAAAGAGUAUGAUAAAUGUUAAAUAUUGUGAUUUGAAUGUGACUUGAUUACUGGGUAUUCUGUUGUAUAGAAUAUUACAUACCUACUAACCACUAACUGUGUGUAUAAAACUGUACAAGGGGCCCCAUGUAGGUUCCUGUAUAGAAGAGAACCGCACUAAGGGGGUCACCAAGUCUGUAUUGUUAGGACUGCGAAUAAUUGGGAUCUAUCUUGUAAAGCUGCUGAUCGUUAGAAUUUCACUAGGAAACUAGAUCUUGAAAUCUUUUUGAAUUAGUACAAGAGAAUGUUGCCUUCUCACGAACGGGGGAGGUUAUGUGGCAGGGUGUCCAUUUAAAGAUUGUCGUGAACAGUUCUGAACCGCGGUGAAGUGCUUUGUGUUCUGGAUCCCUACAGUAACGUGUGGACUUGCAGAACCUCAAGGCUAGUUCUUUGUAACGACCUGCAGUGUUCACAUCAAGGUCCUUGUCCAUCCAGCCAGCACCUGCUAUGCUGCUGCUGUUGUUCUUGGCUAACAUGACGUUGCCGCGCUGCUAUGGAUGUUUCCAGGUAUUACUGCACUGCUCUUAAACCAAUCACUAUAAUGUCAACUAGUUUCCUAGUAACUUUCUCUCAAGACCUUCUCUUGGCAGCCCUCCCUGCCAAUUAGCUUAAACUAACCUUGAAGUUCACCGUGGUAAUCAUUGAAGAGCCCUGCUAGAAUAUCCUGCAACUCAGCCAAAUGGAUACCUUCCCACAGGGAUUCAGUAACGGUGAUGUAAUAAGUGCCAUGCUGUUUCUGACAAUCAGUUUAUAUGGACCAAUUAGGUUUUUUUUUUUUAUUUGAAAUGUUAAGUAUUAUGCUUUUUUUUCCCAUGGUGUGCUGCAGAGCUGGUGUGGAUUUCAUUGAGUGCUGCAGAGCUGGUGUGGGUUUCAUUGAGUGCUGCAGUUUUAGCUUUCUCUUUUUUUUUUUUUUGUGUGCGGAGGGCUUGUAAAAUAAUUUUAGUAACUUGCUUUACUAUUGAAUCUCUUUCUAAGCAAAAUAUAAUGCAGGUUGCCUAAGUGUUUGAUGAGAUAAUGCAGUUUACAUGAAUGAAAUAAUUGAAGUUGCUAAAACUGUAGCAUGUUAUUUCGUAUGGUUCUUUCAUUGCUUAUUUGCAAAACUGCAUGGCUGUAAACACAGGAGUUAACGGUAAUCACAGACUCACGACUGUACCCUCAGUCACUGGGUCUAAUCAGAAACACUGAUGAAUGAAGUUUUGGGCUGCAUUCCUAGUGUAGGAUUUGAAUCUUUUUUGAUCGUUCAGUUAAUUUUCGGUAAAAAAUACUGUCUGGUGUCUAAAACUUCGAAUAGAUUAACGAGUACUCAAGUAAUUCCCACGCCCUUUCUCCUGUAGAGUGCCAAUACAGUAAUGUGCUCCAUCCCAUUAACAUGAACCAGUUGGUGCUUGUUUUCCACUCUUGCUGUCAAUAUGAAGCGAGUAUUGAGUUGAAUCAUUAGCGUAUUCGCUGACAGUCCCUCCGCCGUGCACUGUCUGAGCACGCUCAGGGUGACAUCGCCCACGGGCAGGCUCACUUUUAUCAUAAGCUCUUGACUUGCUGUGGGGUGUUUCCAGCCUCAUUCCUUUACUAAUAUUAACCACUAACAAACUGGAAUUUAGAAAUGCUAUAUUUUCAAUAACUGAAGUAUCUCGUGUGUUAUAUUUUGUUAGAGACACGUCUGUAUUCUCUUCAUUGUAAGUGAAUAUAGUGCUGUUACACUUCCUUUGAAGUUUUUGUUCCACCUAUUCAGGUGUCUGUUCUUAGUAUUGCAUUGUGGUCCAUUAAGCGAUAGUAAACUGUUACAUACAUGGUUAUUGGAAGUAACCGACAGACACUAUGACACUGUGUUCCUUCUUUCCACUUAAUGUGUGCUGUAGCCGCUUCAAAUACUGCAUCUCGAGUUUCAUGCAUUAUUUUGUACCAAACUGUUUCACCCUUAUUAAAGUCAUUCAUGGGAUUAAUGUUGAAUAUUUUAAGAUGCCUCACGGAGCAGACGGCUGUAGGUUUCUAAAUUGAAUUAAAGAGAUCAUUCCCUCUGCGUGUUGUCGAUGUCGCCCUGUACUGUUUGUGUACCACUGUGUCUCUUCUGUGUCUAGUGUAAGUUUAUUUGGUGCACAAAUCCAGUAUCUCUGUGUUGAAAUCUGGCGUCUGUCUGUUUUCUUCUGGUUCCUUGAUUGAACUGCAAUCAUUGUACAUUGCUAAUAAAUUAUUUUUACCUGUUGACUAAA
This is a long non-coding RNA of Acipenser ruthenus (sterlet), 3090 nucleotides long. RefSeq lists it as uncharacterized. The record is from RefSeq and is a predicted model, not a curated record. The transcript has 3 exons. NCBI's taxonomy places the organism in Eukaryota, Metazoa, Chordata, Actinopteri, Acipenseriformes, Acipenseridae.